GCGGUUGUGGCGAAGUGGUUAACGCACCGGACUGUGAAUCCGGCACUCGUGGGUUCAAUUCCCAUCAGCCGCCCCA
This 76-nucleotide transfer RNA is filed under the name Anaerobacillus isosaccharinicus. RNAcentral describes it as "tRNA-His". It matches the Rfam family "tRNA". Rfam says of the family: Transfer RNA (tRNA) molecules are approximately 80 nucleotides in length. Lineage: Bacteria; Bacillati; Bacillota; Bacilli; Caryophanales; Bacillaceae. The record is from RNAcentral.